RNAcentral lists this ribosomal RNA (555 nucleotides) under Salmonella enterica subsp. enterica serovar Enteritidis. Its description in RNAcentral is "bacterial SSU rRNA". It matches the Rfam family "Bacterial small subunit ribosomal RNA", at positions 1 to 543 of the family's 1533-position model. The record is from RNAcentral. Lineage: Bacteria; Pseudomonadati; Pseudomonadota; Gammaproteobacteria; Enterobacterales; Enterobacteriaceae.
UUAAAUUGAAGAGUUUGAUCAUGGCUCAGAUUGAACGCUGGCGGCAGGCCUAACACAUGCAAGUCGAACGGUAACAGGAAGCAGCUUGCUGCUUUGCUGACGAGUGGCGGACGGGUGAGUAAUGUCUGGGAAACUGCCUGAUGGAGGGGGAUAACUACUGGAAACGGUGGCUAAUACCGCAUAACGUCGCAAGACCAAAGAGGGGGACCUUCGGGCCUCUUGCCAUCAGAUGUGCCCAGAUGGGAUUAGCUUGUUGGUGAGGUAACGGCUCACCAAGGCGACGAUCCCUAGCUGGUCUGAGAGGAUGACCAGCCACACUGGAACUGAGACACGGCCCAGACUCCUACGGGAGGCAGCAGUGGGGAAUAUUGCACAAUGGGCGCAAGCCUGAUGCAGCCAUGCCGCGUGUAUGAAGAAGGCCUUCGGGUUGUAAAGUACUUUCAGCGGGGAGGAAGGUGUUGUGGUUAAUAACCGCAGCAAUUGACGUUACCCGCAGAAGAAGCACCGGCUAACUCCGUGCCAGCAGCCGCGGUAAUACGGAGGGUGCAAGCGUUA